AUUGAACGCUGGCGGCAUGCUUUACACACGCAAGUCGAACGGUAACAGGCCGCAAGGUGCUGACGAGUGGCGAACGGGGGAGUAAUGCAUCGGAACGUGCCCAGUCGUGGGGGAUAACUACUCGAAAGAGUAGCUAAUACCGCAUACGAUCUAUGGAUGAAAGCGGGGGACCGUAAGGCCUCGCGCGAUUGGAGCGGCCGAUGUCAGAUUAGGUAGUUGGUGGGGUAAAGGCUCACCAAGCCAACGAUCUGUAGCUGGUCUGAGAGGACGACCAGCCACACUGGGACUGAGACACGGCCCAGACUCCUACGGGAGGCAGCAGUGGGGAAUUUUGGACAAUGGGCGCAAGCCUGAUCCAGCAAUGCCGCGUGCAGGAAGAAGGCCUUCGGGUUGUAAACUGCUUUUGUACGGAACGAAACGGCUCUGGUUAAUACCCGGGGCUAAUGACGGUACCGUAAGAAUAAGCACCGGCUAACUACGUG
RNAcentral lists this ribosomal RNA (482 nucleotides) under uncultured bacterium. RNAcentral's name for it is "partial 16S ribosomal RNA". It matches the Rfam family "Bacterial small subunit ribosomal RNA", at positions 30 to 507 of the family's 1533-position model. The record is from RNAcentral.